CUCUCAUUCUGCAUCUUAAUGGCAAUAUAAAAUGACCAGCACUUCUGCAGCAGAUUACAGGGUCACAUCUCCAUUACCAAGGGGAAUGCAGAAGGCAGAAUAUUGCAGGACUGUCCCACACAAGGUAGAAAAGUGGCAGCAUUUCUCUCUGACCUGCAGGACAGUGUUGUGAAGAUGACAGUCUUUCCAUAGGACCUGUUGGGACCCUCUCCACUAACCUCACCAGGAGCUGCACAAAUACUGAUGCUGCUUUAUUGGUUUAUGACUAAUUGAAAAUCGGAUUCAUGCCUGAAGUUUUCUACCACUGCCUCUCCGUGGAUGAACCCAAGCUGCACCCUCACUGGAUGACU
Molecule: long non-coding RNA, 350 nt
Organism: Chiroxiphia lanceolata (lance-tailed manakin)
Lineage: Eukaryota; Metazoa; Chordata; Aves; Passeriformes; Pipridae
Exons: 3
Source: RefSeq, a predicted model, not a curated record